Molecule: ribosomal RNA, 576 nt
Filed under: uncultured eukaryote
Lineage: Eukaryota
Description: SSU rRNA
Rfam family: Eukaryotic small subunit ribosomal RNA
Source: RNAcentral
UAAAAACCCCGACUUCGGAAGGGGUGUAUUUAUUAGAUACAAAACCAAUGCCCUUCGGGGCUCUUUGGUGAUUCAUGAUAACUAUACGAAUCGCACGGCCUUGCGCCGGCGAUGGUUCAUUCAAAUUUCUUCCCUAUCAACUUUCGAUGUUUGGGUAUUGGCCAAACAUGGUUGCAACGGGUAACGGAGGGUUAGGGCUCGACCCCGGAGAAGGAGCCUGAGAAACGGCUACUACAUCCAAGGAAGGCAGCAGGCGCGCAAAUUACCCAAUCCCGACUCGGGGAGGUAGUGACAAUAAAUACUGAUACAGGGCCCUUUCGGGCCUUGUAAUUGGAAUGAGUACAAUUUAAAUCCCUUAACGAGGAACAAUUGGAGGGCAAGUCUGGUGCCAGCAGCCGCGGUAAUUCCAGCUCCAAUAGCGUAUAUUAAAGUUGUUGUGGUUAAAAAGCUCGUAGUUGAACCUUGGGCCUGGCUGGCCGGUCCGCCUCACCGCGUGCACUGGUCCGGCCGGGCCUUUCCCUCUGUGGAACCCCAUACCCUUCACUGGGCGUGGCAGGAACACAGGACAAAACUUUG